RNAcentral lists this ribosomal RNA (627 nucleotides) under Corynebacterium sp. RNAcentral's name for it is "bacterial SSU rRNA". It matches the Rfam family "Bacterial small subunit ribosomal RNA", at positions 87 to 729 of the family's 1533-position model. The record is from RNAcentral. Lineage: Bacteria; Bacillati; Actinomycetota; Actinomycetes; Mycobacteriales; Corynebacteriaceae.
GUACUCGAGUGGCGAACGGGUGAGUAACACGUGGGUGAUCUGCCCUGCACUUUGGGAUAAGCCUGGGAAACUGGGUCUAAUACCAGAUAGGACCACGUCUUGGAUGGUGUGGUGGAAAGUUUUUUCGGUGUGGGAUGAGCUCGCGGCCUAUCAGCUUGUUGGUGGGGUAAUGGCCUACCAAGGCGUCGACGGGUAGCCGGCCUGAGAGGGUGUACGGCCACAUUGGGACUGAGAUACGGCCCAGACUCCUACGGGAGGCAGCAGUGGGGAAUAUUGCACAAUGGGCGCAAGCCUGAUGCAGCGACGCCGCGUGGGGGAUGACGGCCUUCGGGUUGUAAACUCCUUUCGCCAGGGACGAAGCGUCAGUGACGGUACCUGGAUAAGAAGCACCGGCUAACUACGUGCCAGCAGCCGCGGUAAUACGUAGGGUGCGAGCGUUGUCCGGAAUUACUGGGCGUAAAGAGCUCGUAGGUGGUUUGUCGCGUCGUUUGUGUAAUACCGCAGCUUAACUGCGGGGUUGCAGGCGAUACGGGCAUAACUUGAGUGCUGUAGGGGAGACUGGAAUUCCUGGUGUAGCGGUGGAAUGCGCAGAUAUCAGGAGGAACACCGAUGGCGAAGGCAGGUCUC